RNAcentral lists this ribosomal RNA (354 nucleotides) under uncultured Gammaproteobacteria bacterium. RNAcentral's name for it is "bacterial SSU rRNA". It matches the Rfam family "Bacterial small subunit ribosomal RNA", at positions 524 to 876 of the family's 1533-position model. Lineage: Bacteria; Pseudomonadati; Pseudomonadota; Gammaproteobacteria. The record is from RNAcentral.
UACAGAGGGUGCGAGCGUUAAUCGGAAUUACUGGGCGUAAAGGGCGCGUAGGCGGUCUGGUCAGUCGGAUGUAAAAGCCCCGGGCUUAACCUGGGAAUGCCAUUCGAUACUGCCCGACUUGAGUAUGGUAGAGGGAAGCGGAAUUCCGGGUGUAGCGGUGAAAUGCGUAGAGAUCCGGAGGAACACCAGUGGCGAAGGCGGCUUCCUGGACCAAUACUGACGCUGAGGCGCGAAAGCGUGGGGAGCAAACAGGAUUAGAUACCCUGGUAGUCCACGCCCUAAACGAUGAGAACUAGCCGUUGGGGGUAUUAAAACUUUUAGUGGCGAAGCUAACGCGAUAAGUUCUCCGCCUGG